This 497-nucleotide ribosomal RNA is filed under the name uncultured bacterium. RNAcentral describes it as "partial 16S ribosomal RNA". It matches the Rfam family "Bacterial small subunit ribosomal RNA", at positions 28 to 507 of the family's 1533-position model. The record is from RNAcentral.
GAUGAACGCUGGCGGCGUGCCUAACACAUGCAAGUCGAGCGAACAGACGAGGAUCUUGCUCCUCUGACGUUAGCGGCGGACGGGUGAGUAACACGUGUAUAACCUACCUAUAUGACUGGGAUCACUUCGGGAAACCGGCGCUAAUACCGUAUAAUAUAUUGAACCGCAUUGUUCAAUAGUGAAAGUCGGUUUUGCUGUCACUUCUAGAUGGAUCCGCGCCGCAUUAGCUAGUUGGUAAGGUAACGGCUUACCAAGGCAACGAUGCGUAAACGACCUGAGAGGGUGGUCGGCCACACUGGAAGUGAGACACGGUCCAGACUCCUACGGGAGGCAGCAGUAGGGAAUCUUCCGCAAAGGGCGAAAGCAUGACGGAGCAACGCCGCGUGAGUGAUGAAGGUCUUCGGAUCGUAAAGCUCUGUUAUUAGGGAAGAACAAAUGUGUAAGUAAAUAUGCACGUCGUGACGGUACCUGAUCAAAAAGCCACGGCUAACUACGUG